This 2396-nucleotide ribosomal RNA is filed under the name metagenome. Its description in RNAcentral is "bacterial LSU rRNA". It matches the Rfam family "Bacterial large subunit ribosomal RNA", at positions 35 to 2466 of the family's 2925-position model. The record is from RNAcentral.
GGCACANAGAGGCGAUGAAGGACGUAGGAACCUGCGAUAAGUUUCGGGGAGGCGGUAACCAGCCUUUGAUCCGGAAAUUUCCGAAUGGGGGAACCCACCUAGUGUAAGCUAGGUAUCUUUAACUGAAUACAUAGGUUAAAGAAGCGAACCUGGGGAACUGAAACAUCUAAGUACCCAGAGGAAAAGAUAUCAACCGAUAUUCCCUUAGUAGCGGCGAGCGAACGGGGAACAGCCCUUAAGCUGUUUAUAGGUUAGUGGAACGGUCUGGAAAGUCCGGCGAUACAGGGUGAUAGCCCCGUACACGAAAACCUGUUUAGAUUGUGAAAUCGAGUAGGACGGGACACGUGGUAUCCUGUUUGAACAUGGGGGGACCAUCCUCCAAGGCUAAAUACUCCUAGUUGACCGAUAGUGAACCAGUACCGUGAGGGAAAGGCGAAAAGAACCCCUGUGAGGGGAGUGAAAUAGAACCUGAAACCGUAUGCGUACAAGCAGUGGGAGCAGAUUUAUUCUGUGACUGCGUACCUUUUGUAUAAUGGGUCAGCGACUUAACGUUUGUAGCAAGCUUAACCGUUUAGGGGAGGCGUAGCGAAAGCGAGUCUUAAUAGGGCGACUUAGUUGCAGGCGUUAGACCCGAAACCGGGCGAUCUACCCAUGGCCAGGUUGAAGGUGCCGUAACAGGCACUGGAGGACCGAACCCACUUAUGUUGAAAAAUGAGGGGAUGAGCUGUGGGUCGGAGUGAAAGGCUAAUCAAGCCCGGAGAUAGCUGGUUCUCCGCGAAAUCUAUUUAGGUAGAGCGUCAAGUAUUACCCUCGGGGGUAGAGCACUGUUUGGGCUAGGGGGUCAUCCCGACUUACCAAACCCAUGCAAACUCCGAAUACCGAGGAGUACAGCUUGGCAGACACACGGCGGGUGCUAACGUCCGUCGUGGAGAGGGAAACAACCCAGACCACCAGCUAAGGUCCCAAAUAUCAGUUAAGUGGGAAACGAUGUGGGAAGGCUUAGACAGCUAGGAGGUUGGCUUAGAAGCAGCCACCCUUUAAAGAAAGCGUAAUAGCUCACUAGUCGAGUCGGCCUGCGCGGAAGAUGUAACGGGGCUAAACUGAUAACCGAAGCUGUGGACGCAUGCUUGCAUGCGUGGUAGCGGAGCGUUCUGUAAGCGGUUGAAGGCGAAUCGAGAGGUUCGUUGGACGUAUCAGAAGUGCGAAUGCUGACAUGAGUAACGAUAAAGGGAGUGAAAAACUCCCUCGCCGGAAGACCAAGGUUUCCUGCCCCAUGCUAAUCAGGGCAGGGUGAGUCGGCCCCUAAGGCGAGGGCGAAAGCCGUAGUCGAUGGGAAACAGGUUAAUAUUCCUGUACUACACAUUAGUGCGAUGGAGAGACGGAGAAGGCUAGACUAGCGCGGCGUUGGUUGUCCGCGUUCAAGCUUGUAGGCCGGCAACUUAGGUAAAUCCGGGUUGCUAAAGCCGAGAUGUGAUAACGAACUCCUUCGAAAGAUCGAGUGAAGUAGUUAAUGCCAUGCUUCCAAGAAAAUCUUCUAAGCUUCAGCUAAUGUGUAAUCGUACCCCAAACCGACACAGGUGGUCAGGUAGAGAAUACCAAGGCGCUUGAGAGAACUCGGGUGAAGGAACUAGGCAAAAUGGUACCGUAACUUCGGGAGAAGGUACGCCGGNUUUGGUGAUGGGACUUGCUCNCUAAGCUGAGGCNGGUCGCAGUGACCAGGUGGCUGCAACUGUUUAUUAAAAACAUAGCACUCUGCAAACNCGUAAGNGGAAGUAUAGGGUGUGACGCCUGCCCGGUGCCGGAAGGUUAAUUGAUGGGGUUANCUUCGGNGAAGCUCUUGAUNGAAGCCCCGGUAAACGGCGGCCGUAACNAUAACGGUCCUAAGGUAGCGAAAUUCCUUGUCGGGUAAGUUCCGACCUGCACGAAUGGCGUAAUGAUGGCCACACUGUCUCCACCCGAGACUCAGUGAAAUUGAAUUCGCGGUCAAGAUGCCGUGUUCCCGCAGCUAGACGGAAAGACCCCGUGAACCUUUACUAUAGUUUGGCACUGGACUCUGAUAUAACUUGUGUAGGAUAGCUGGGAGGCUUUGAAACUGUGACGCCAGUUGCAGUGGAGCCACCCUUGAAAUACCAGCCUGGUUAUGUUGGGGUUCUAACUCAGGUCCAUUAUCUGGAUCGAGGACAGUGUCUGAUGGGUAGUUUGACUGGGGCGGUCUCCUCCCAAAGAGUAACGGAGGAGCACGAAGGUACGCUAAUCAUGGUCGGAAAUCAUGAGCUUAGUGCAAUGGCAUAAGCGUGCUUGACUGCGAGACUGACAAGUCGAGCAGGUACGAAAGUAGGUCAUAGUGAUCCGGCGAUUCUGUAUGGAAGGGUCGUCGCUCAACGGAUAAAAGGUAC